UACGAAAGGUGCUAGCGUUGUUCGGAAUUACUGGGCGUAAAGCGCACGUAGGCGGCCUUGUGAGAUGGGGGUGAAAUCCCUGGGCUCAACCCAGGAACUGCCUUCAUGACUGCAAAGCUCGAGGAUGUGAGAGGUUGGCUGAAUUCCGAGUGUAGAGGUGAAAUUCGUAGAUAUUCGGAAGAACACCGGUGGCGAAGGCGGCCAACUGGCACAUUUCUGACGCUGAGGUGCGAAAGCGUGGGGAGCAAACAGG
This 253-nucleotide ribosomal RNA is filed under the name uncultured bacterium. RNAcentral's name for it is "partial 16S ribosomal RNA". It matches the Rfam family "Bacterial small subunit ribosomal RNA", at positions 524 to 776 of the family's 1533-position model. The record is from RNAcentral.